GUUUACUGCUCAUGGCGGCGUCAUGUUUACAUGUUUAAACCGCGUAUUCAAUUUCCUGACAAAACGAAUAGAACAUUUUUAACUUGACCCAGUUAAGCUGCCCAGGCCAUUCGUUCGGUCGUAAAAGUCGCAGCCCACUGCCCCGACGGAGAAACUGCAAUGGCUCCUCCAGCACCGCGAACACGGUCUCCCAUGUAAUUCAGGGCCAAUUUUGAAGAUUCCACGACGGAUUUACCUGAAGAUACUGGAUUGGCAAUGUUCUUCACAGAAGAGACUGCACCACAAGCAAGUGUCUUUCCAUCCAUGAUGAUUGCAUCCAGUUCCACUUUGCCCUCUGUGUUGAGAGCUGCUCCGUGACCUGCAGAUAGAUAACGUUCAUAAGGUAUUUCCAUAUAUGUCCACAAGAUGGUAACAAGUCAGUGUAUGUUAAACAGAACACCGCACUCGCCAUAAUACUCCACUGACUGCUAUAAUGACAGUUCAUGUCCAAUCUUUUCACAUAAAUGAACCAUAAAAAAACUAUUGUGGGCCACUGGGCAUAACAGCCUUGAUGUUCAUUUAUAUGCAAGGCAAACAUAUAUUCACAGAUUCUGUCGGGUAUGAAAAGAAAAUAAUGGUCAUUACGCAGUAUUAUCAUCCCCUGAUGUUCAGCUGCAAU
Molecule: long non-coding RNA, 658 nt
Organism: Synchiropus splendidus (mandarinfish)
Lineage: Eukaryota; Metazoa; Chordata; Actinopteri; Syngnathiformes; Callionymidae
Exons: 3
Source: RefSeq, a predicted model, not a curated record